GACGAACGCUGGCGGCGUGCUUAACACAUGCAAGUCGAACGAAGUGGCGAACGGGUGAGUAACGCGUAAUCAACCUGCCCUUCAGAGGGGGACAACAGUUGGAAACGACUGCUAAUACCGCAUACUGAAGGUGGGGAUUGCGUCUGAUUAGCUAGUUGGAGGGGUAACGGCACACCAAGGCGAUGAUCAGUAGCCGGUCGUAGAGGAUUAACGGCCACAAUGGGACUGGGACACGGCCCAAGCUCCUACGGGAGGCAGCAGGUGGGAAUCUUCCGAAAUGGACGAAAGUCUGACUGAGCAACGCCGCGUGAGUGAUGACGGCCUUCGGGUUGUAAAGCUCUGUUAAUCGGGACGCGGUACCGGAAUAGAAAGCCACGGCUAACUACGUGCCAGCCGCCGCGGUAAUUC
Molecule: ribosomal RNA, 408 nt
Filed under: uncultured bacterium
Lineage: Bacteria
Description: partial 16S ribosomal RNA
Rfam family: Bacterial small subunit ribosomal RNA
Source: RNAcentral